This is a long non-coding RNA of Megalobrama amblycephala (Wuchang bream), 1138 nucleotides long. RefSeq lists it as uncharacterized. Lineage: Eukaryota; Metazoa; Chordata; Actinopteri; Cypriniformes; Xenocyprididae. The record is from RefSeq and is a predicted model, not a curated record. The transcript is spliced from 3 exons.
AGAAGAAAAAAAAAUCAUUUGGAACAACUUGAGGUUACCCUCUAAUUCACCUGUUUGGGGCCACUUGGAAACAGAUGCUGAAGACCUAAACAACCACAUUUCCUUGUAUGGUAAAGCCAGUGGGAAGAUGUUCCAGUUACCUGCAGUAAGGACUGUCCAUCUGUUUUCAGCAUCCUCCUGGGAUUGCUGACACAUUUCUCAAGAGGAUACCACCCGCAAAUCUGGUCAGGGGACUACAAAUGAAGUAUGUCAGGUGAAGUGCCCUGCAGAGUGUGCAGGGAGAAGUGAACACUGCUUAGGAACCUGUGAAUCAGAUCUCAGUUUACAUCUGUUUGGAUCCAGCUGUACAGUCACCUGACCAGCCUUGUCAUCCACCCACACGGUCAGUCCAGCAAAGUAUGUGCUUUGCUCACCAUAAUCCCUUAAUCCAGCCACCGCUAGACCACGGCGAGAGAGAGACAGGAUAAUUGCAUGAGACACAAGCCUAGGUGCGGGAGAGAUGGAGAGAGAUGAGACGAGGAUUAAACGGCUCACCUUUAUCUUUGUGAAUCAUUUGUUUACUAAAGUUAAAUACACAAUGAAAAGAAGUCAGAGAGUGCGUAAAACAGAUCCACUGCUCUCCUUUCGUAAACCUGAGGCUAUGUGUAAUAAUUCAACCAUUUUAUUUCCCAAAUAUAUGAACCAUUUUUAAUAUGCAUGCUGCUGGGGGUGAGAAAUAUUGAUUUAUUGUUUUUCACAACAGACAAACACACAAUGAAUUAUGAAUGAAUUGUUUUCUAUAUAGUGUAUACUGCAGAUUUACCGAGGACUUCUUUGUGUAACCUCGUGGCAUUGACCUCAGUGUUUUAUUCACUUGCUGUACAUUAAAGCAAUGUUUAUACAAUGCAUCCUAACCUGUGAAAGUUUAAAAGUUUUCUAAGCUGUGGACACAGGCAACGACGCGCUCGUGAGAAAACAGCUUUGUGUAUGACAGGGCUGGAGAUGAGGGAUAAAGCGGGAGAGAGAGACAGAAAGAGAUCAAAGCACACGAGAGCUUGUCUAGCGAUGUAUUACGGCCUUCAUUCCCCGCUCGAAAAUGUUGGGUUGCCAUGGAAACGCCUGUUGAACGAGGCUGCUAUGAAUCUUUCAGUAACUCCUC